Molecule: ribosomal RNA, 1083 nt
Filed under: Vibrio sp.
Lineage: Bacteria; Pseudomonadati; Pseudomonadota; Gammaproteobacteria; Vibrionales; Vibrionaceae
Description: bacterial SSU rRNA
Rfam family: Bacterial small subunit ribosomal RNA
Source: RNAcentral
UGCAAGUCGAGCGGAAACGAGUUAUCUGACCCUUCGGGUGACGAUAACGGCGUCGAGCGGCGGACGGGUGAGUAAUGCCUGGGAAAUUGCCCUGAUGUGGGGGAUAACCAUUGGAAACGAUGGCUAAUACCGCAUAAUAGCUUCGGCUCAAAGAGGGGGACCUUCGGGCCUCUCGCGUCAGGAUAUGCCCAGGUGGGAUUAGCUAGUUGGUGAGGUAAGGGCUCACCAAGGCGACGAUCCCUAGCUGGUCUGAGAGGAUGAUCAGCCACACUGGAACUGAGACACGGUCCAGACUCCUACGGGAGGCAGCAGUGGGGAAUAUUGCACAAUGGGCGCAAGCCUGAUGCAGCCAUGCCGCGUGUAUGAAGAAGGCCUUCGGGUUGUAAAGUACUUUCAGCAGUGAGGAAGGUGGGUAUGUUAAUAGCAUACUCAUUUGACGUUAGCUGCAGAAGAAGCACCGGCUAACUCCGUGCCAGCAGCCGCGGUAAUACGGAGGGUGCGAGCGUUAAUCGGAAUUACUGGGCGUAAAGCGCAUGCAGGUGGAUGAUUAAGUCAGAUGUGAAAGCCCGGGGCUCAACCUCGGAAUAGCAUUUGAAACUGGUCAUCUAGAGUACUGUAGAGGGGGGUAGAAUUUCAGGUGUAGCGGUGAAAUGCGUAGAGAUCUGAAGGAAUACCGGUGGCGAAGGCGGCCCCCUGGACAGAUACUGACACUCAGAUGCGAAAGCGUGGGGAGCAAACAGGAUUAGAUACCCUGGUAGUCCACGCCGUAAACGAUGUCUACUUGGAGGUUGUGGCCUUGAGCCGUGGCUUUCGGAGCUAACGCGUUAAGUAGACCGCCUGGGGAGUACGGUCGCAAGAUUAAAACUCAAAUGAAUUGACGGGGGCCCGCACAAGCGGUGGAGCAUGUGGUUUAAUUCGAUGCAACGCGAAGAACCUUACCUACUCUUGACAUCCAUAGAACUUUCCAGAGAUGGAUUGGUGCCUUCGGGAACUAUGAGACAGGUGCUGCAUGGCUGUCGUCAGCUCGUGUUGUGAAAUGUUGGGUUAAGUCCCGCAACGAGCGCAACCCUUAUCCUUGUUUGC